Molecule: ribosomal RNA, 210 nt
Filed under: uncultured bacterium
Lineage: Bacteria
Description: partial 16S ribosomal RNA
Rfam family: Bacterial small subunit ribosomal RNA
Source: RNAcentral
UACGUAGGGGGCAAGCGUUGUCCGGAAUCAUUGGGCGUAAAGCGCGCGUAGGCGGCCCUGUAAGUCCGUUGUGAAAGUCAAAGGCUCAACCUUUGAAAGCCGAUGGAUACUGUCGGGCUAGAGUCCGGAAGAGGCGAGUGGAAUUCCCGGUGUAGCGGUGAAAUGCGCAGAUAUCGGGAGGAACACCUAUGGCGAAGGCGGCUUACGUGG